Molecule: RNA transcript, 2471 nt
Organism: Hirundo rustica (Barn swallow)
Lineage: Eukaryota; Metazoa; Chordata; Aves; Passeriformes; Hirundinidae
Gene: PDGFRL
Gene name: platelet derived growth factor receptor like
Exons: 7
Source: RefSeq, a predicted model, not a curated record
AGCCGCGCCCGCGCCGCCGCCGCCGCGCCUGGGCUGCUCCCGCCAUGCGGCUCUGGGUGCUCCUCAGCCUGCUGCUGCUGCAGGAAGCGCUGCCACACGUUAUUGGACAGCCUGCAAAGAGUAAGCGUCCCAAAGAACCUGGAGAAAACAAAAUUAAGCCUGUUAACAAGAAAGUAAAACCAAAGACCCCCAAAACAAAGGAGAGAGAAUCUGUGGACUCCUCUUUGAAGUCCCAGUCCAUACUGACACAGGUGAUGGAUAAAGGUAAUUUCCAGAAACUAGCUGCCACCUUAAGUCUGGCUGCAGGACAAAGCGUAGAACUACGAUGCAAGGGGAGUAAUGUUACUUGGAACUAUCCUACUUAUUUAGACACCUUUAAAGACUCCAGACUCAGCAUAAAGCAGCUUGACAGGUAUAGUCAGCUGAUCCUUGCAAACUCCACUGCGGCAGACACAGGUGAAUACAGCUGCUGGCUUCAGCUGUGCGAUGGUAACAAAUGCAGGAAGGAUGAGACUAAAACAGGGUCAACAUACAUCUUUUUCACAGACAAAGAGGAACUUUUUGUACCUACUCCCAGUUAUUUUGAGAUUGUCUACUUGAACCCAGAUAAACCCGCAGUCAUCCCAUGCCGUGUCACUACUCCUUCAGCAAAAGUGACUCUUCACAGGGAAUUUCCAGCAGAAGAAAUUGAAACAGAUGGAACUGAUAUAAUUUAUGAUGCAAAGAAGGGUUUUGUCUUCCAGCACCCUACUUCUGAUCAUAAAGGUAUUGUCUACUGCAAAGCAGAGUCACGGGGAGCACCUCAGAUUUCCAUCAGAUAUCACCUACUGUACGUGGAAGUUCCCAAGGGCCCGCCCUCAACCUCAAUUGCGGUGUCAUCCAGUAGGGCUGGGCUCAGUGACAGGGUUCAUGUGGUCUGCACAGUCCUCGGGGAGCCAGAUGUGGAUGUGAACUUCAGGUGGCAGUAUCCAGGGCAAGAGGAGAAAAGGAAAGAUAUUUUCAUUUACACAGAGCUAUACCUGGAUAAAUAAGCCACUGCUUCUCUCAGCCUGGGUUCAGUUAACCAGUACAAGGAAAGAACUUGCCAGAGGAGAAGGUCUCAAGACUGAUACAGAAGCAGUGCCUCUAAGGAAGAAUUUUGCUGGGUGUCAUGUCCUGUCCAUCCUUUCUGUCCUUGUCCUCCCACCAAGAUCAAAAUAAUUCUUGUAAUUGAAAGCUAUGAGAAUUCUUUUACUAUGUAUUUUACAUAGUUUUUAUUUUACCAAAAGCCUCCUGGGCAGAGCUGAUGUUACAUUGCCACAGUUAAUUGCACAUUUCUACCUAAAGGAAUGGUGACAGGGUAAGAGAAUGAAGCCCUGGCAAUGAAAUGUAAGUGACUUGUCAAAGUUACAUGCCUAAAGCUGCCAGUGCUAUUAUUUCCAUUUCCAUACCUGUGUCACUGCUCUUCUAAGGCCAAGGCAGCAGCAAUGGUCAGAAGGUAAUUUUUUCUUAAGGGUUCAGUGGUUAUCCCAACUUUAUGAUGACCUUUUUAGCUGCAGCUCAGCCCUAAAUGAUUUCCUGGCUGUUGGACAAGAUCAGUGGAUGGUUACUGUCUAGAAGGAAUUUCCUGCAUGAAUCGCAUGAUACCAGUUUACAUGGAAGUGUCUUUGGUGUUAGUAAUGAGAAACAUCAAGGCUUUAGUUAGCUCAAGGAAAUGAUUCACCUCAAAUUUUAUAGAAAAUACAGUGCAAUCCAUACAAUGAUCUUUUGAGAAAAGUAUUGAAGGUGAACCAUAGUAUGGUUUGCAACAAACUGUACGGUACAGCUGUUAAAUGUCACUGUAGCUUCCUCUGAAACUUAGCAUGAGUUGGAACUGAGAGUAAAGGUGCAUAUCUGAAGAAAAUCACUUGUUCAAUUGCUUGACCUUUAGCUUAAGAUGAUGGUAAGCAGGUUUCUAGAUUUUCCUGAAGGAAACCUUAUGCUAAAGAAAAAAAUCUCAAAAUAUGUAAAAGUUACUGGAUUGAACAAAGCCUUUACUAAUACACGGUACUUAAAGCUCAGAGAAACUCAGAGAAAAACAUUGAAACAGUAAUUACAGAUCAGCAGAAUUAUUUAAUUUGUUGAGACCAACAGGACGAACACUAAACAGGUAUUUCUGUAAUCUGAUUUCUACAUACAAGCAGUCUUCAUUUCUUCAUAAAAGCCUUAAAGACUCUACUUGCAAGCAGUUUAGCCAUGAAGAGUCUCCUGCAUUGUAGAGAUAAAUUAUGAACAGAUUAACAGUCUCUGUAUUAUCCACUCUACCAUACUUACUUUUCUGUAUGGUAGCCUAGAAGAGCUUUCCUUGCUUUUGCUACAGGAAGGGCUAUAAAAUAUUUGACCUUCAAACAUUUUUGUGCACUCUGCUUUGCAUGUUUCAUUCAGGACAUUACACUGCAACUAAAGUAAUAAAGUUCUUACUGGUGGCUAGGUAAGUGUCCUUGUGACAGGAC